Molecule: long non-coding RNA, 327 nt
Organism: Fundulus heteroclitus (mummichog)
Lineage: Eukaryota; Metazoa; Chordata; Actinopteri; Cyprinodontiformes; Fundulidae
Exons: 3
Source: RefSeq, a predicted model, not a curated record
GCCCGGGGCCCCGAUGGCUUUACCACUAAUCUCUGAUGUCGCAACUUUCCUCCCCUGAAGCUCUUUUCUGUAGUUUCGUCAGACGUGGUGUGGAUUGUUUUCUUUCCUCCCUGUUGGUGUCGGUUCAUAGCAGCACGGCUGGUUUUCUGCAGUGAGCCACUGGCCAACCACAGUCAUCGAUGUCACACGUGGGAUACUGCCUACUGAUGGCUUUACAACACAACCCCUGCUGGGACAUAGAAAUUUAAAAGGUUUAACCAAACCUGGGAGCAUUUGUUCCUCAUCUUGGACAAAAACAUUUUCACUCACCGGAGAAGAUUGCAGGAA